This 416-nucleotide ribosomal RNA is filed under the name Strongyloides ransomi. RNAcentral describes it as "SSU rRNA". It matches the Rfam family "Eukaryotic small subunit ribosomal RNA", at positions 87 to 533 of the family's 1831-position model. Lineage: Eukaryota; Metazoa; Nematoda; Chromadorea; Rhabditida; Strongyloididae. The record is from RNAcentral.
CCGCGGAAAGCUCAUUAUAACAGCUAUAGACUACACGGUAAAUAUUUUAGUUGGAUAACUGAGGUAAUUCUUGAGCUAAUACACGCUUUUUAUACCACAUUAGUGGUGCGUUUAUUUGAUUAAACCAUUCUUUCGGUUGACUCAAAAUAUCCUUGCUGAUUUUGUUAUUAAAACAUACCGUAUGUGUAUCUGGUUUAUCAACUUUCGAUGGUAGGGUAUUGGCCUACCAUGGUUGUGACGGAUAACGGAGAAUUAGGGUUCGACUCCGGAGAGGGAGCCUGAGAAACGGCUACCACAUCCAAGGAAGGCAGCAGGCGCGAAAAUUACCCAAUUUUAGUUCAAAGAGGUAGUGACGAAAAAUGACAACCAAAUAUUAUUAUUAAUAUUUGGAUUGAAAAUCUUCAAGUUUAAAUAAC